This 450-nucleotide ribosomal RNA is filed under the name uncultured bacterium. RNAcentral describes it as "partial 16S ribosomal RNA". It matches the Rfam family "Bacterial small subunit ribosomal RNA", at positions 355 to 797 of the family's 1533-position model. The record is from RNAcentral.
UAGGGAAUCUUCGGCAAUGGACGAAAGUCUGACCGAGCAACGCCGCGUGAGUGAAGAAGGUUUUCGGAUCGUAAAACUCUGUUGUUAGAGAAGAACGUUGCAUAGAGUGGAAAAUUAUGCAAGUGACGGUAUCUAACCAGAAAGGGACGGCUAACUACGUGCCAGCAGCCGCGGUAAUACGUAGGUCCCGAGCGUUGUCCGGAUUUAUUGGGCGUAAAGCGAGCGCAGGUGGUUUAAUAAGUCUGAUGUAAAAGGCAGUGGCUCAACCAUUGUGUGCAUUGGAAACUGUUAGACUUGAGUGCAGUAGAGGAGAGUGGAAUUCCAUGUGUAGCGGUGAAAUGCGUAGAUAUAUGGAGGAACACCGGUGGCGAAAGCGGCUCUCUGGACUGUCACUGACACUGAGGCUCGAAAGCGUGGGUAGCAAACAGGAUUAGAUACCCUGGUAGUCCA